RNAcentral lists this long non-coding RNA (406 nucleotides) under Homo sapiens (human). RNAcentral's name for it is "non-protein coding lnc-FAM213B-2:4". The record is from RNAcentral. Lineage: Eukaryota; Metazoa; Chordata; Mammalia; Primates; Hominidae.
GGGACCGCCCUUUCUGGGGAGCUGGGAGUGGGCCAGGGUCCAGCCUGGCUGGAGGCUCCUGCUAUGGGGAGAGGCCAGAGCCUUUCCGAGCCCACCUGCCCGACAGCCCUGGUGCCAGCAGGCCCUUUCUGGAUGUCACAGUGUUCUUGUCUCUAAGAUUGAUCGCAGAGUUGAACAACAGAGAAUGUGUGCACAGUGCCAGGCACAGGUGUGGUCAAGAUUCACCUGGGAGAGGAAGUGGGCAGGGGCAGAGGAGUGUGCCCACCUGAGCUGAAAGGCUGCAUGGCAGGUGACCAUUAUCACCAGUGUCGCCAGCCAGGUCACCUCUCUGAAUUUUGUGGUUGCAACCUCCAUGAUUCCCUAGAGCUGUUUUUACCCAGAACUAAUGAAAAAUUCUGCACAUUAA